CGGUGCCGGUGAGGUGUCGGGUUAAGUCCCAUAACGAGCGCAACCCCUAUUCGUUAGUUGCCAUCAGGUCAUGCUGGGGACUCUAACAAAACUGCCCGCGUAAGCGUGGAGGAAGGUGGGGAUGACGUCAAAUCAGCACGGCCCUUACGUCCAGGGCUACACACGUGCUACAAUGGCCGGUACAGAGGGCAGCCACUUGGUGACAAGGAGCAAAUCUCAAAAGCCGGUCUCAGUUCGGAUCGGAGUCUGCAACUCGACUCCGUGAAGUUGGAUUCGCUAGUAAUCGUAGAUCAGCAAUGCUACGGUGAAUACGUUCCCGGCCUU
Molecule: ribosomal RNA, 324 nt
Filed under: uncultured Bacteroidota bacterium
Lineage: Bacteria; Pseudomonadati; Bacteroidota
Description: bacterial SSU rRNA
Rfam family: Bacterial small subunit ribosomal RNA
Source: RNAcentral